UUUGCUUUUGGAAAGAAAACCAAAAAGGUUGCUUUGGGAUCAAAUUGUAGGCUACUGUUAUUUAAACCGCAAUUAAGGCUUGAGUUAAUUAUGCAAUUGUGACUAAUAGCGGAUGUGGUUCCCAUGCUGGAAGGGUUUUGUUGGGGAGUGGGGACUCGAGAAAUGCACAUCACAUCACAUGACGAUACGUUCGCGCCUCUUUCGUAAAACUCUCCGACCAGUAAAGAUUCAAAACAACUUAAAGGUGACCUUCAAAUACAAUGCUUCUAAAAUGGAAGGUCAACUCAGAAUUACGCCAUUCAAUCCUCAUCGAAAAAAGAUUGACUGUUUUCCCAACCCUAAUUAUUCUGGUUCUGUACAGUAUACAUCUGUAAUCCGCCAGAUGUUGUGAGCAGCAGUAGUGUGCCGUUUAUCCACUAAUUAUUCUGGUUCUCCAGCUAAGGUGCAUCUAGUGUAGUUAGUGAAAUAGUCUAGUAUCUACUGCCCUAGUUGCUCCUUCUGGCUGGAGCACUUGUAUCCCAACUCUGGACAUUUGGUGACAGCAGUUUCAUCUGUUUUCUGUCACUGUUCAUUUCUGACCUAUGAGCUAGCAUAUGUCACAAUUUGGAAUUAAGUGUUAUAUUUUGAAAACGUUUUAGUAUAAAAAGUAAAUACCACUACCUCACUGCAUGUUCUUUCAUAUUUCUGGUAUUACGUAUUAGUCAAGUUAUCAGCCUUUUUUUUGUAGUUUGUGUCAAGUUUUAUUGGGGUAUUCCAAGUUCUAGAAUAUUCUAUGUUGUAUUGUCCUGGCAGUUCCAAAGUGCUCACAGUGCAGGUAGUUUAAAUGAACCUACUGCAGUGUGUGCACUUCAAGUAUUGCCGGUCACCCUCCCUUUGAAGCUCACUACUGAGACCACCUUGAAGAGAUCCAUCCAUGGCACAUCAUGGGUUUACUGUGAGUUUUGCAGGGUUGCUUUCAGCUUCUGAAAAUUUCCGCUGUGCAAAUCCAUGCAAAACUCUCUGUACCUGAGAGACUCAACAAACAGAGAAACCUGUGAAGAGCUUCUGUUCCCCUGGGUCCCUUUGUAUUGUUUUAUAUUGUUCAGAAAACUGCAAUAUCCUCAUGUUCAAGUUUAACACUUUUGCUUUGGUUAAGUAUGCAGCAGACAAUCUGUCAACGCAGCUGUUAUCGCGGGCUUGGUCUCGGGGAUGGCAAGCAUGGGGAUGUGUUAUGUCUGUGUGGGUUGGAAGAAUGGAUUUGCUUGGCAAGCAGUUUUUAGCUUGUUGUUUGUCUUGCUGUUUUUGGGUGGAAGACUUCGCAAUGUUAAUGAUGGCCAAAAUCGACCAAAUGAUGCACAGUAUACAUCUGUAAUCCGCCAGAUGUGAGCAGCAGCAGUGUGCCAUUUAUCCACUUUGUUCCUUCUCUAAAUUGAAAACAAUUAACACAACUGCUGAAAUAAAAGAACGUUGAAGGGUU
Salmo salar (Atlantic salmon) is the source of this 1456-nucleotide long non-coding RNA. RefSeq lists it as uncharacterized. The record is from RefSeq and is a predicted model, not a curated record. Lineage: Eukaryota; Metazoa; Chordata; Actinopteri; Salmoniformes; Salmonidae.